AUCAUCACUUCCCAGUUCCGGAAGCAAGGGUUUUAUCGUUUGAAGAAGAUUAAUCAUCAACCCAACGAGGACAGGUAAGUGGUCGCAUAAACAACUUCUCCAAAGCCAGCCAACACUGUUAUGGAUCAGCGAGGGCAUGGGCAGCAUUCUGCAGCAGGUGAGGUUGGAAGUACGGCUCCCGUCCCAUAUGGCAUAUCUUCGUAUCAACCUAACCAGAUGAUGGGGCCUUCUGCCACUGGAUCACUUCAAUCUGCUGCUCAGCCAUCAGGUGUCACUGCAUCUCAAGCUCAGCUUGCUCAGCACCAACUUGCUUAUCAGCAUAU
RNAcentral lists this unclassified non-coding RNA (323 nucleotides) under Hevea brasiliensis (rubber tree). The record is from RNAcentral. Lineage: Eukaryota; Viridiplantae; Streptophyta; Magnoliopsida; Malpighiales; Euphorbiaceae.